CACGUAGGGCGCAAGCGUUGUCCGGAAUUAUUGGGCGUAAAGAGCUCGUAGGCGGUCUGUUACGUCUGCUGUGAAAACCCGGGGCUUAACCCUGGGCUUGCAGUGGAUACGGGCAGACUAGAGGCAGGUAGGGGAGAAUGGAAUUCCCGGUGUAGCGGUGAAAUGCGCAGAUAUCGGGAGGAACACCGGUGGCGAAGGCGGUUCUCUGGGCCUGACCUGACGCUGAGGAGCGAAAGCCUGGGGAGCGAACAGG
RNAcentral lists this ribosomal RNA (253 nucleotides) under uncultured bacterium. RNAcentral's name for it is "partial 16S ribosomal RNA". It matches the Rfam family "Bacterial small subunit ribosomal RNA", at positions 524 to 776 of the family's 1533-position model. The record is from RNAcentral.